This 253-nucleotide ribosomal RNA is filed under the name uncultured bacterium. Its description in RNAcentral is "partial 16S ribosomal RNA". It matches the Rfam family "Bacterial small subunit ribosomal RNA", at positions 524 to 776 of the family's 1533-position model. The record is from RNAcentral.
UACGUAGGGUGCGAGCGUUGUCCGGAAUUACUGGGCGUAAAGGGCGCGUAGGCGGCCUGUUAAGUCGGACGUGAAAUCCCUCGGCUCAACCGGGGAACUGCGUCCGAUACUGGCGGGCUUGAAUUCGGGAGAGGGAUGUGGAAUUCCAGGUGUAGCGGUGAAAUGCGUAGAUAUCUGGAGGAACACCGGUGGCGAAGGCGGCAUCCUGGACCGACAUUGACGCUGAGGCGCGAAAGCCAGGGGAGCAAACGGG